GAUGAAGAACGCAGCGAAAUGCGAUAAGUAAUGUGAAUUGCAGAAUUCAGUGAAUCAUCGAAUCUUUGAACGCACAUUGCGCCCGCUAGUAUUCUGGCGGGCAUGCCUGUCCGAGCGUCAUUUCAACCCUCAAGCCCCCGGGCUUGGUGAUGGGGAUCGGCGAGCCUCCGCGCCCGCCGUCCCCUAAAUCUAGUGGCGGUCUCGCUGUAGCUUCCUCUGCGUAGUAGCACACCUCGCACUGGGAAACAGCGCGGCCACGCCGUUAAACCCCCAACUUCUGAACGUUUGACCUCGGAUCAGGUAGGAAUACCCGCUGAACUUAAGCAUAUCAAUAAGCGGAGGA
RNAcentral lists this unclassified non-coding RNA (343 nucleotides) under soil metagenome. Its description in RNAcentral is "partial contains 5.8S ribosomal RNA, internal transcribed spacer 2, and large subunit ribosomal RNA". The stretch from base 1 to 120 matches the Rfam family "5.8S ribosomal RNA", at positions 35 to 154 of the family's 154-position model. The record is from RNAcentral.